This 468-nucleotide ribosomal RNA is filed under the name uncultured bacterium. RNAcentral describes it as "partial 16S ribosomal RNA". It matches the Rfam family "Bacterial small subunit ribosomal RNA", at positions 28 to 507 of the family's 1533-position model. The record is from RNAcentral.
GACGAACGCUGGCGGCGUGCUUAACACAUGCAAGUCGAACGGAAAGGCCCUGCUUUUGUGGGGUGCUCGAGUGGCGAACGGGUGAGUAACACGUGAGUAACCUGCCCUUGACUUUGGGAUAACUUCAGGAAACUGGGGCUAAUACCGGAUAGGAGCUCCUGCUGCAUGGUGGGGGUUGGAAAGUUUCGGCGGUUGGGGAUGGACUCGCGGCUUAUCAGCUUGUUGGUGGGGUAGUGGCUUACCAAGGCUUUGACGGGUAGCCGGCCUGAGAGGGUGACCGGACAAGUUGGGACUGAGAUACGGCCCAGACUCCUACGGGAGGAAGCAGUGGGGAAUAGUGCACAAUGGGCGGAAGCGUGAUGCAGCAACGCCGCGGGCGGGAUGACGGCCUUGGGGUUGUAAACCGCUUUCGCCUGUGACGAAGCGUGAGUGACGGUAAUGGGUAAAGAAGCACCGGCUAACUACGUG